CCCUUCGGGGUGGUGAGGUGGCACACGGUUGACUUCGCGUGGAUAAUCUGCCCGAGGAUUUGGUAUAACGUCUCGAACGGUGUGAUAACACACUGUAAACCGUGCUGGUCUACGGAUCUUGCGCUUUUGGGGGGUACCUUCAUCCCUCAUGUCC
This 154-nucleotide ribosomal RNA is filed under the name uncultured Geobacter sp. RNAcentral describes it as "partial 16S rRNA". Lineage: Bacteria; Pseudomonadati; Thermodesulfobacteriota; Desulfuromonadia; Geobacterales; Geobacteraceae. The record is from RNAcentral.